CCUAUCAUGCAAGUCGAACGGAACUUUUGAACUUAGAUUUUAGAUAUUGGAACUUAACAGCUUGCCUGCUAACUUCCAGCUUCUAACCUCUAAGAGCUCAAUUGUUUAGUGGCGGACUGGUGAGUAACGCGUUGGAACCUACCCCGGAGUGGGGAAUAACUUCGAGAAAUCGAGGCUAAUACCCCAUAGUCUCCGCCUCGUGCGGAGUAAAGAUUUAUCGCUCCGGGAGGGGCCUGCGUCUGAUUAGCUAGUUGGUGAGGUAAAAGCUCACCAAGGCGACGAUCAGUAGCUGGAUCGAGAGGUUGACCAGCCACACUGGGACUGAGAUACGGCCCAGACUCCUACGGGAGGCAGCAGUAAGGAAUAUUCCACAAUGGGGGAAACCCUGAUGGAGCAAUGCCGCGUGCAGGAAGACGCGUUUCGGCGUGUAAACUGCUUUUAAACAGGAUGAUUAUGACAGUACUGUUAGAAUAAGGACCGGCUAAUUACGUGCCAGCAGCCGCGGUAAUACGUAAGGUCCAAGCGUUAUCCGGAUUUACUGGGCGUAAAGCGUCUGUAGGCGGCCAAGCAAGUUGGGUGCGAAAUUUUGUGGCUCAACCAUGAAACUGUAUUCAAAACUGCUAGGCUCGAGGUUGGUAGAGGUACGUGGAACGUGCGGUGUAGGGGUGACAUCCGUAGAUAUCGCACAGAACACCAAUGGCGAAGGCAGCGUACUGGGCCACACCUGACGCUCAGAGACGAAAGCGUGGGGAGCGAACGGAAUUAGAUACUCCGGUAGUCCACGCCGUAAACGAUGAUCACUAGUUGUAUGGAGUUUCGACCCUCUGUGCAGCAAAGCUAACGCGUUAAGUGAUCCGCCUGGGGAGUACGAGCGCAAGCUUNAAACUCAAAGGAAUUGACGGGGAGCCGCACAAGCAGAGGAGGAUGUGGUUUAAUUNGAGGCUAAGCGAAGAACCUUACCAAGGCUUGACAUCCUGGGAAUCUUUGGGAAACCAUUGAGUGCCUUCGGGAAUCCAGUGACAGGUGCUGCAUGGCCGUCGUCAGCUCGUGUCGUGAGAUGUUGGGUUAAGUCCCGCAACGAGCGCAACCCCUAUCGUUUGUUGAAUUUUCAAACGAGACUGCCCGGGACAACCGGGAGGAAGGUGGGGACGACGUCUGGUCUGCAUGGCCCUUACGCCUUGGGCUACACACGUCCUACAAUGGCCACUACAACGCGUUGCCAAACCGCAAGGUGGAGCUAAUCGCAUCAAAAGUGGUCUCAGUUCGGAUUGAGGGCUGAAACUCGCCCUCAUGAAGCCGGAUUUGCUAGUAAUGGUGGAUCANCCACGCCGCCGUGAAUACGUUCCCGGCUCUUGUACACACCGCCCGUCAAGUCACGGGAGUUNNNGGNGCCUGAAGUUCUGUCUCAGACAGGCCUAGGGUAAAACCAGCGAUCUGGGGCUAAGUCUACCAAGUUNGCG
Molecule: ribosomal RNA, 1460 nt
Filed under: uncultured bacterium
Lineage: Bacteria
Description: bacterial SSU rRNA
Rfam family: Bacterial small subunit ribosomal RNA
Source: RNAcentral